GAUGAACGCUGGCGGCGUGCCUAAUACAUGCAAGUCGAGCGACCGGACGAUAAGCUUUCUUCCUUGAUGUUAGCGGCGGACGGGUGAGUAACACGUGGAUAACCUACCUAUAAGACUGGGAUAACUACGGGAAACCGGUUCUAAUACCGGAUCAUAUUUUGAACGGCAUGGUUCAAAAGUGAAAGACGGUCUUGCUGUCACUUAUAGAUGGUUCCGCGCUGCAUUAGCUAGUUGGUAAGGUAACGGCCUACCAAGGCAACGAUGCAUAGCCGACCUGAGAGGAUGAUCGGCCACACUGGAACUGAGACACGGUCCAGACUCCUACGGGAGGCAGCAGUAGGGAAUCUUGCGCAAUGGGCGAAAGCCUGACGGAGCAACGCCGCGUGAGUGAUGAAGGUCUUCGGAUCGUAAAACUCUGUUAUUAGGGAAGAACAUAUGUGUAAGUAACUGUGCACAUCUUGACGGUACCUAAUCAGAAAGCCACGGCUAACUACGUG
Molecule: ribosomal RNA, 497 nt
Filed under: uncultured bacterium
Lineage: Bacteria
Description: partial 16S ribosomal RNA
Rfam family: Bacterial small subunit ribosomal RNA
Source: RNAcentral